UGUCACACAUCUCUUCCCCAAUCCCCAUGGUGGUGGUGGUGCUGGUGCCCUCUUCCCCAUCCCGCCGCCGCACAAAGCCAGCCAGCGUCGCCUACCCACAGAUCUCGCUGGGCGAGGCGGAGGCGGAGCCUGACCUCCAGCUCCCAAGCCCUCUGCUACAAGUCGACGAGGGGCGGCCGCUAACCCCUCUGUUCGGCACCGGCCCCAGGCCCUCUUCCACCGUCGCCCCACAAGCGCUGCAGCCUUCGUCCAUGGCGAUCUUGGAAGAAAUUUCGGCCAAGGUUUAGGUAUGUCAUCUUGCUGUUAUACAGCCGUUAUGCUGCUGAAAAUUGAUGUGACAAAAGGAGACAAGGCAUGAAGAAUCCAUCUUGUGAACAGACAGUUUCCUCUUCCUCCACCCCGUUCCCCACGGACGCCAAUAAAGAAAUGGGAGGCGAGAGGCAGCCACCGGCGGCCGCAGCAGUCACCGUAUCCAAGGUGCUCGACGAUGACGACCUCCUCAUCGAAAUCCUUCUCCGCGUCGGUUUCCCCACCACCCUCGUCUGCGCCGCCCUCGUCUGCAAGCGCUGGCUAGGGCAUGCCUCCGACCGCGCCUUCCUUCGCCGUUUCCGCGAGCUCCACCCGCCCCGCCUCCUCGGCUUCUACAUCGACGACUUUGAUCUUCCGCCCGGCUUGACAUCAGUGUUGUCCCAGUGCUGCCUCAGCCCCCAGAGCUUGCUGUUGUCGUCCGCCGUGCAAGCUUCAAAUUGGAAACCAACAAUGCCAGGUCUGCUACAAUCCAGGACUGCCAGAACGGCAGCAUCUUCUUCACCUUGUACAAUGGCAGAAGCGGAAACUCAGCCAGAGUGCACUGCCUGUUGUGCCCCGAGAGAGAUCUAUCCAACCUCCCACAACUCCCACGCCCUGGACUCGAGCGUAACUGCACUUUCAAACAAGUUCUUUCCAAAGAAGAAGGGGAUGGCAUGUCCUACUACUACUUGUAUGUGGAGUCUAGCAGGCGCGCAGAAACAGAAUCUAUCCUACACGUAUAUAUGUUGCAAGAUGGUUCCCGAUGGACGCAUCAUCUCUUGGACAUAGACAACUUCCCUGAACCACGAUGGAAACUGAAAGCUGUGCUCGUUGAUAAUAAAAUCUACAUGGCGGCUGCCGAGAGUGCCAUUAUUGUUUUGGAUUUGUCGGACUUGAGUCUCUCUACAAUUCGGCUUCCGCAAGGUGUGGCGCAUGGCGUCACCGGCACCACUAUGUUGGCACGUGCUCAUGAUGCUUCUGGUGUAUAUCUCAUCCAUGUUGAGGAGUUUCAACUUCGCAUCUGGCUCUACAAGGGGGGAAACUGGUCACUGGUGGAUACCUUUUUUUUGCGUGAGAUGUGUGCUAACUUGAGGAAUUCAUGUUGCACAAUCGAGGAUGAAUAGACUCCUAACACUGAACCAGGUGGUGGACUAUGGUGACUUUGUGUUCUUGAAGAUGGGUGAAUGUGCACUCCAGUUGGACAUCAAGUGCAGGACACUGCGUAAGGUGUAUGAAGCAAAAAAUGGUCGUUUGGGUUUUAAUAUCCAUCCUUUUAUGAUGAUCUGGCCUCCCACAUUCCCAACGCUCAAGUAUGAUGCUGCAAGAGAUGCAAUGGGGAGAAGAAUUAUACCAGGAAGCUCAUGGAUGGCACCUAUGCCGAGAGUGACCAGGGCGGCAUCAAGGAAGAGCAGUAGGUGACUGCAUUUCCUCUACGGAAAUCUGGUUAUGAUCCAAGUGAAAGCGAAGCUAUAUUUCCUAACAGGGAGAAAACCUAGGAAUUAUUAGCUUUAUCAUGCGCUAGACAUUUCAGUGUGUACUGCAAUGUUUUAGUUUGCCAAAGUGGUGUGCAAAAUCUGGGAUCAUUUCUUCUUUGACAGUGCAUGUACAAGAGGUUUCAUAACUGCACUCUGAUCCAGUGAAAUUAUGUCGCAACGCUUGAACAUACUGCAAGUGUAACUAACAAGUUUGAAGAAGAAGAAGAAAAAUGGAAGCGUCAUGCACCAUUGCUUUCA
This is an RNA transcript of Triticum aestivum (bread wheat), 2021 nucleotides long. RefSeq lists it as uncharacterized. Lineage: Eukaryota; Viridiplantae; Streptophyta; Magnoliopsida; Poales; Poaceae. The record is from RefSeq and is a predicted model, not a curated record. The transcript has 5 exons.